ACUCCUGCGGGAGGCAGCAGUGGGGAAUAUUGGACAAUGGGCGCAAGCCUGAUCCAGCCAUGCCGCGUGAGUGAUGAAGGCCCUAGGGUUGUAAAGCUCUUUCACCGGUGAAGAUAAUGGCGGUAACCGGAGAAGAAGCCCCGGCUAACUUCGUGCCAGCAGCCGCGGUAAUACGAAGGGGGCUAGCGUUGUUCGGAUUUACUGGGCGUAAAGCGCACGUAGGCGGACUAUUAAGUCAGGGGUGAAAUCCCGGGGCUCAACCCCGGAACUGCCUUUGAUACUGGUAGUCUUGAGUUCGAGAGAGGUGAGUGGAAUUCCGAGUGUAGAGGUGAAAUUCGUAGAUAUUCGGAGGAACACCAGUGGCGAAGGCGGCUCACUGGCUCGAUACUGACGCUGAGGUGCGAAAGCGUGGGGAGCAAACAGGAGUAGAUACCCCGGUAGUCCCAUGAU
This 450-nucleotide ribosomal RNA is filed under the name uncultured organism. Its description in RNAcentral is "partial 16S ribosomal RNA". It matches the Rfam family "Bacterial small subunit ribosomal RNA", at positions 335 to 801 of the family's 1533-position model. The record is from RNAcentral.